This 473-nucleotide ribosomal RNA is filed under the name uncultured bacterium. RNAcentral describes it as "bacterial SSU rRNA". It matches the Rfam family "Bacterial small subunit ribosomal RNA", at positions 28 to 506 of the family's 1533-position model. The record is from RNAcentral.
GAUGAACGCUGGCGGCGUGCUUAACACAUGCAAGUCGAGCGAAGCACUAAAGCGGAUUUCUUCGGAUUGAAGGUUUAGUGACUGAGCGGCGGACGGGUGAGUAACGCGUGGGUAACCUSCCUCAUACAGGGGGAUAACAGUUGGAAACGGCUGCUAAUACCGCAUAAGCGCACAGUACCGCAUGGUACGGUGUGAAAAACUCCGGUGGUAUGAGAUGGACCCGCGUCUGAUUAGGUAGUUGGUGGGGUAACGGCCUACCAAGCCGACGAUCAGUAGCCGACCUGAGAGGGUGACCGGCCACAUUGGGACUGAGACACGGCCCAAACUCCUACGGGAGGCAGCAGUGGGGAAUAUUGCACAAUGGGGGAAACCCUGAUGCAGCGACGCCGCGUGAGCGAAGAAGUAUUUCGGUAUGUAAAGCUCUAUCAGCAGGGAAGAAAAUGACGGUACCUGACUAGAGCCCYUWAUUMCGC